AGUAGCGAAAGAUAGGUGAGAAUCCUAUCCAUCGAAAGCCUAAGGUUUCCAGGGGAAGGCUCGUCCGCCCUGGGUAAGUCGGGACCUAAGGUGAGGCCGAAAGGCGUAGCCGAUGGACAACAGGUUGAUAUUCCUGUACCACUUAUUAAUCUGAUGGAGUGACGGAGAAGGCUAAGUUGAGCGUGUGAUUGGAUUCACGUGUAAGCAGUGAGGUGGUCAUGUAGGCAAAUCCGCAUGGCAUAACAUUGAGCUGUGAUGCCGAAGCCGAAUGGCGAAGUCAACUGACGUCACGCUCCCAAGAAAAGCUUCUAGGGUUAAUUUAAUAAGUGCCCGUACCGAUAACCACACAGGUAGGCGAGGAGAGAAUCCUAAGAUGAGCGAGAGAACUCUUGUUAAGGAACUCGGCAAAAUGACCCCGUAACUUCGGGAGAAGGGGUGCUUGUGAAAGCAAGCCGCAGUGAAUAGGCCCAGGCGACUGUUUAUCAAAAACACAGGUCUCUGCUAAACCGCAAGGUGAUGUAUAGGGGCUGACGCCUGCCCGGUGCUGGAAGGUUAAGAGGAGAGGUUAGCGCAAGCGAAGCUUUGAAUUGAAGCCCCAGUAAACGGCGGCCGUAACUAUAACGGUCCUAAGGUAGCGAAAUUCCUUGUCGGGUAAGUUCCGACCCGCACGAAAGGCGUAACGAUCUGGGCGCUGUCUCAACAAGAGACUCGGUGAUAUCAUAGUACCUGUGAAGAUGCAGGUUACCCGCGACAGGACGGAAAGACCCCGUGGAGCUUUACUGUAGCUUGAUAUUGAGCACUGGUGGCACAUGUACAGGAUAGGUAGGAGACGAAGAAACCAGGACGCCAGUCUUGGUGGAGUCGCUGUUGGGAUACCACCCUUGUGUCACUGGGGUUCUAACCCGUGGCCCUUAUCGGGUCAGGGAACAGUGUCAGGUGGGCAGUUUGACUGGGGCGGUCGCCUCCCAAAGAGUAACGGAGGCGCCCAAAGGUUCCCUCAGAAUGGUUGGAAAUCAUUCGAAGAGUGUAAAGGCAGAAGGGAGCUUGACUGCGAGACCUACAAGUCGAGCAGGGACGAAAGUCGGGCUUAGUGAUCCGGCGGUACCGAAUGGAAGGGCCGUCGCUCAACGGAUAAAAGCUACCCCGGGGAUAACAGGCUGAUCUCCCCCAAGAGUUCACAUCGACGGGGAGGUUUGGCACCUCGAUGUCGGCUCAUCGCAUCCUGGGGCUGUAGUCGGUCCCAAGGGUUGGGCUGUUCGCCCAUUAAAGCGGUACGCGAGCUGGGUUCAGAACGUCGUGAGACAGUUCGGUCCCUAUCCGUCGUGGGCGUAGGAAAUUUGAGAGGAGCUGUCCUUAGUACGAGAGGACCGGGAUGGACACACCGCUGGUGUACCAGUUGUUCUGCCAGGAGCAUAGCUGGGUAGCUACGUGUGGACGGGAUAAACGCUGAAAGCAUCUAAGCGUGAAGCCCCCCUCAAGAUGAGAUUUCCCAUUCGAAAGAAGUAAGAUCCCUUGAAGACGACGAGGUUGAUAGGUCAGGAGUGGAAGUGUGGUGACACAUGGAGCGGACUGAUACUAAUCGAUCGAGGACUUAACC
RNAcentral lists this ribosomal RNA (1597 nucleotides) under metagenome. RNAcentral describes it as "bacterial LSU rRNA". It matches the Rfam family "Bacterial large subunit ribosomal RNA", at positions 1305 to 2925 of the family's 2925-position model. The record is from RNAcentral.